AAAUUUUCUUUCUUAUUUUCAUGUUUGAUGUUAUAUACUGAUCAUGAAAUUCACAAACAGACUAGCGCGUAUGUAAGUUUAAAGAAGAGUAAUCCUUGUAUAUAGGUUUUAUAUUGGUAUUCACAACUAAGUUUAAACUUUUUUUUCAGAACAUACACACAAUGGAAUAAACGUAGACUAAUCAAUUACAUACAGUCUGGAAAUGGAUCAGAACUUUUAACUUAGAAGCUAUCGUCGCUUCCUUCUACUAAUACAUGGCAACAUUUUCUACAUGACAAGUGAUUUCUUUACCACAUGGUUUCGCAUAGUUGAGAAAAUAAAGAAAGCUGUUAAGAUUUAUUCAAGGUUUCCAAUCUAAUAUAAGCUCACCUGACCACGAAAUUGUCAAGGUGAGGUAUAGUGAUGGGGCAAUCGUGCAUCGUGCGUCGUCAACAAUUGGGUUGUUAACAAUCUAGCAGUCACAGUUGUGAUUGGAUCAUCAUCAAACUUUGUCAGAAUAUUUGUCUCACAUACAGAUCGAGUUGGAAGAUGGGUUUUCUCGGGUCAUAAACUAGGUCACAGGAGCUAUAAAUAGAAAAAGCUUGUUAACACUAGUGGCUGCAGUUUUGAUCCAAGUAUUCUGGAAAUCAGUCAGGUAGGCUGUUUUGAUAAUUUCUAGGUCAAAUUUAAAUAUGGGUCAUCUCCGGUCAAAAACUAGGUCACAGGAGCU
Molecule: long non-coding RNA, 709 nt
Organism: Ruditapes philippinarum (Manila clam)
Lineage: Eukaryota; Metazoa; Mollusca; Bivalvia; Venerida; Veneridae
Exons: 3
Source: RefSeq, a predicted model, not a curated record